CGUAAAGAGUCCGUAGACUGUAAAGUAAGUUUUUUGUUAAAUCUUAAGACCUAAUUUUAAAACAAGCAAUUAAUACUGCUUUACUUUGAGUUUAAUACAGAAAAGUGGAAUUUUAUACGAUAGGGGUGAAAUCUGCAGAUAUAUAAAGGAACAUCAAUAGCGAAGGCAACUUUUUAGUAUAAACUGACGUUGAGGGACGAAAGUGUGGGUAGCAAACAGGAUUAGAGACCCUGGUAGUCCACACCGUAAAUUCUGAGUGCUGUGAUUUAAUUAUAAUAUACAAUUAGAUCUUCAAGCUAACGCAAUAAGCACUCCGCCUGAAGAGUACGAUCUCAAGAUUGGAACUCAAAGGAAUUGACGGGGGUCUAACACUAGUGGUGGAGCAUGUGGUGUAAUGCAAUAAUCCGCGCAAAACCUUACCAAUUCUUGACAUAAUUAAUUUAUAUAAAUGAUAUCUAUCGUUAUUAUUUAUAACGUUUUUUACAGGUGUUGCACGACUGUCGUCAGCUCGUGUCGUGAGAUGUUUGGUUAAGUCCUGAAACGGGCGCAACUCUUAUCUUUAACUAAAAGUAUUUACGAGUUAAUAAAUUUUUUCAAAAUGAGUAUUCAUAAAAAUUUAUUAUAAGCUUUAGAGAUACGAUCAACGAUAAGUUGAAGGAAGGUAAGAAUUAAGUCAAGUCAAUGUGACCCUAAUGAAUUGGGCUACACAUGUGCUACAAUGAAAAUUACAAAAAGUGACAAAAAAGAAAUUUUGAGUUAAUCUACAAAAAUUUUCCCAGUUCGGAUUGUAGACUGCAACUCGUCUACAUGAAGUUGGAAUCACUAGUAAUCGCAAAUCAGCACGUUGCGGUGAAUAUGUCAAUUAGCCUUGUACACACCGCCCGUCACAUGCAGAAAGCCAGCUUUGCUUGAAGAUUUAACUUAGUUAAAUCGAUUGAGAAGUUGGUGAUUUGGAUGAAGUCGUAACAAGGUAGCUGUACGGGAACGUGUAGCUG
Molecule: ribosomal RNA, 995 nt
Filed under: marine metagenome
Description: bacterial SSU rRNA
Rfam family: Bacterial small subunit ribosomal RNA
Source: RNAcentral